AUCGGGCUGACGAGUCCCAAAUAGGACGAAACGCGCGUCCUGUAU
Molecule: non-coding RNA, 45 nt
Filed under: Schistosoma mattheei
Lineage: Eukaryota; Metazoa; Platyhelminthes; Trematoda; Strigeidida; Schistosomatidae
Source: RNAcentral